GAUCAUGGCUCAGGAUGAACGCUAGCGACAGGCUUAACACAUGCAAGUCGAGGGGCAGCACAGGUAGCAAUACCGGGUGGCGACCGGCGCACGGGUGAGUAACGCGUAUGCAACUUGCCUAUCAGAGGGGGAUAACCCGGCGAAAGUCGGACUAAUACCGCAUGAAGCAGGGGCCCCGCAUGGGGAUAUUUGCUAAAGAUUCAUCGCUGAUAGAUAGGCAUGCAUU
RNAcentral lists this ribosomal RNA (226 nucleotides) under uncultured bacterium. RNAcentral describes it as "partial 16S ribosomal RNA". It matches the Rfam family "Bacterial small subunit ribosomal RNA", at positions 15 to 237 of the family's 1533-position model. The record is from RNAcentral.